RNAcentral lists this long non-coding RNA (224 nucleotides) under Manihot esculenta (cassava). RNAcentral describes it as "long non-coding RNA (MESC_LNC006225)". Lineage: Eukaryota; Viridiplantae; Streptophyta; Magnoliopsida; Malpighiales; Euphorbiaceae. The record is from RNAcentral.
UUAGGGCUGUAAAUGAGCCAAGCUAUUCGUGAGCUACUCGAGGCUCGACUCGAUAAAAGCUCGACCGAGUUCGGCUCGUUUUUUAAACGAGCCAAGCUCGAGCUCAAUUUUGAGGCUCGUCACUUAAACGAGCUGAGCUUGAGCUCCAUAGUAUUCGGCUCGUUAAGGCUCGCGAGCUGGCUCGUUUUUAGGCUCGCGAGCUGGCUCGUUUUUAGGCUCGCNNN